UACGUAGGGGGCAAGCGUUGUCCGGAUUUAUUGGGCGUAAAGCGCGCGCAGGCGGUCCUUUAAGUCUGAUGUGAAAGCCCACGGCUCAACCGUGGAGGGUCAUUGGAAACUGGGGGACUUGAGUACAGAAGAGAAGAGUGGAAUUCCACGUGUAGCGGUGAAAUGCGUAGAGAUGUGGAGGAACACCAGUGGCGAAGGCGACUCUUUGGUCUGUAACUGACGCUGAGGCGCGAAAGCGUGGGGAGCAAACAGG
This 253-nucleotide ribosomal RNA is filed under the name uncultured bacterium. RNAcentral's name for it is "partial 16S ribosomal RNA". It matches the Rfam family "Bacterial small subunit ribosomal RNA", at positions 524 to 776 of the family's 1533-position model. The record is from RNAcentral.